Molecule: long non-coding RNA, 673 nt
Filed under: Trifolium pratense (red clover)
Lineage: Eukaryota; Viridiplantae; Streptophyta; Magnoliopsida; Fabales; Fabaceae
Description: long non-coding RNA (TPRA_LNC000803)
Source: RNAcentral
GGCAAAAACCAAAAAAAAUCACUAAAACACUAAAAUUAUAUUUUUCAUCUUCUGGAUAUGUUCCUAAAAACAGUGUUCGAAUAAAAGGCAAACUAAUCACCGGCGACUAAAUAAAAGACAAUGCUCUUUCAUUCAUUCAUCAAUAUAAUUAUUUAGCUUAACAGAACAAAAUUUGAAAACAGAUUUAAUCUGCAGACCUAAACAAAGUUUAAAAUCCAAUAACUCAACACAUUUUAAAUCCAGAUUCAUGUCUACAAUGGACUUAACAUACAUGAUACAACCAUUAAAAACACACUCAAUUUCAUCAAAACAUACUCAAUUUCUUGUACCCUAACAAAGCCCGAUUCAAAGGUACACAAACAUGAUACAACCAUUAAAACACACACUCAAUUUUAUCAAAACAUACUCAAUUUCUCAAAAUUUAUCGUAGCCCUAACAAAGAAACCUAACUCCCGAAACCGACUUAAACCAAGAACCCUAACCAUCUCAAUUUCUCAGAACCGACUCAAUUUCUCAAUAUUUCCAAACAUCACAGAACAGAUUCAAAUAUAUAUAUUUAGUGUGAUUGAGGGUUUAAAUUCAUCAAAACACAAUCAAUUUCUAUGCAAAUAUGCAAAUAAAGAUUGAAACCGCGUAACGAUGAAGAACGAGGAGAAAACGAAGAAGAAAACAA